ACUCUAGUCUGGCACGGUGAAGAGACAUGAGAGGUGUAGAAUAAGUGGGAGGCCCCCGGCGCCCCCCCGGUGUCCCCGCGAGGGGUCCGGGGCGGGGUCCGCCGGCCCUGCGGGCCGCCGGUGAAAUACCACUACUCUGAUCGUUUUUUCACUGACCCGGUGAGGCGGGGGGGCGAGCCCCGAGGGGCUCUCGCUUCUGGCGCCAAGCGCCCGGCCGCGCGCCGGCCGGGCGCGACCCGCUCCGGGGACAGUGCCAGGUGGGGAGUUUGACUGGGGCGGUACACCUGUCAAACGGUAACGCAGGUGUCCUAAGGCGAGCUCAGGGAGGACAGAAACCUCCCGUGGAGCAGAAGGGCAAAAGCUCGCUUGAUCUUGAUUUUCAGUACGAAUACAAACCGUGAAAGCGGGGCCUCACGAUNNNNNNNNNNNNNNNN
RNAcentral lists this non-coding RNA (434 nucleotides) under Gorilla gorilla gorilla (western lowland gorilla). RNAcentral's name for it is "Eukaryotic large subunit ribosomal RNA". It matches the Rfam family "Eukaryotic large subunit ribosomal RNA", at positions 2425 to 2788 of the family's 3401-position model. Lineage: Eukaryota; Metazoa; Chordata; Mammalia; Primates; Hominidae. The record is from Rfam by way of RNAcentral.